RNAcentral lists this transfer RNA (73 nucleotides) under Saccoglossus kowalevskii. RNAcentral describes it as "tRNA-Asn". It matches the Rfam family "tRNA". Rfam says of the family: Transfer RNA (tRNA) molecules are approximately 80 nucleotides in length. Their secondary structure includes four short double-helical elements and three loops (D, anti-codon, and T loops). Lineage: Eukaryota; Metazoa; Hemichordata; Enteropneusta; Harrimaniidae. The record is from RNAcentral.
GCCCGGCUAGCUCAGUCGGUAGAGCAUGGGACUGUUCAUGCCAGGGUCAUGGGUUCGAGCCCCAUAUUGGGCG